GGGGGUAAAGGCCUACCAAGGCGUCGAUCCGUAGCUGGUUUGAGAGGACGACCAGCCACACUGGGACUGAGACACGGCCCAGACUCCUACGGGAGGCAGCAGUGGGGAAUUUUGGACAAUGGGGGCAACCCUGAUCCAGCCAUCCCGCGUGUGCGAUGAAGGCCUUCGGGUUGUAAAGCACUUUUGGCAGGGAAGAAAAGGCUCUGUCUAAUACCUGGAGCUGCUGACGGUACCUGCAGAAUAAGCACCGGCUAACUACGUGCCAGCAGCCGCGGUAAUACGUAGGGUGCAAGCGUUAAUCGGAAUUACUGGGCGUAAAGCGUGCGCAGGCGGUUCGGCAAGAAGGAUGUGAAAUCCCAGGGCUUAACCUUGGAACUGCAUUCUUAACUGCCG
RNAcentral lists this ribosomal RNA (393 nucleotides) under uncultured bacterium. RNAcentral's name for it is "bacterial SSU rRNA". It matches the Rfam family "Bacterial small subunit ribosomal RNA", at positions 253 to 638 of the family's 1533-position model. The record is from RNAcentral.